AUGGCCGUACCAUGCUGAAUAUACCGGUUCUCGUUAGAUCACCGAAGUUAAGCAUCAUUGGGCGCGGUCAGUACUUGGGUGGGUGACCACCUGGGAACACCGCGUGCCGUU
Molecule: ribosomal RNA, 111 nt
Filed under: Caerostris darwini
Lineage: Eukaryota; Metazoa; Arthropoda; Arachnida; Araneae; Araneidae
Source: RNAcentral